This 767-nucleotide ribosomal RNA is filed under the name uncultured Streptococcus sp. Its description in RNAcentral is "bacterial SSU rRNA". It matches the Rfam family "Bacterial small subunit ribosomal RNA", at positions 28 to 776 of the family's 1533-position model. The record is from RNAcentral. Lineage: Bacteria; Bacillati; Bacillota; Bacilli; Lactobacillales; Streptococcaceae.
GAUGAACGCUGGCGGCGUGCCUAAUACAUGCAAGUAGAACGCUGAAGCUUGGUGCUUGCACCGAGCGGAUGAGUUGCGAACGGGUGAGUAACGCGUAGGUAACCUGCCUCUUAGCGGGGGAUAACUAUUGGAAACGAUAGCUAAUACCGCAUAAAAGUUGACAUUGCAUGAUGUUGAUUUGAAAGAUGCAAUUGCAUCACUAAGAGAUGGACCUGCGUUGUAUUAGCUAGUUGGUGAAGUAACGGCUCACCAAGGCGACGAUACAUAGCCGACCUGAGAGGGUGAUCGGCCACACUGGGACUGAGACACGGCCCAGACUCCUACGGGAGGCAGCAGUAGGGAAUCUUCGGCAAUGGGGGCAACCCUGACCGAGCAACGCCGCGUGAGUGAAGAAGGUUUUCGGAUCGUAAAGCUCUGUUGUAAGAGAAGAACGAGUGUGAGAGUGGAAAGUUCACACUGUGACGGUAACUUACCAGAAAGGGACGGCUAACUACGUGCCAGCAGCCGCGGUAAUACGUAGGUCCCGAGCGUUGUCCGGAAUUAUUGGGCGUAAAGAGCUUGUAGGCGGUUUGUCGCGUCUGCUGUGAAAGGCCGGGGCUUAACCCCGUGUAUUGCAGUGGGUACGGGCAGACUAGAGUGCAGUAGGGGAGACUGGAACUCCUGGUGUAGCGGUGGAAUGCGCAGAUAUCAGGAAGAACACCGAUGGCGAAGGCAGGUCUCUGGGCUGUAACUGACGCUGAGAAGCGAAAGCAUGGGGAGCGAACAGG